CACGAACCGUACGAACGUUAUGCGGAAUCAUUGGGCUUAAAGAGCGCGUAGGCGGCGUCGUAAGUUGGAGGUGAAAUCCCAUCGGCUCAACCGUGGAACUGCCCCCAAUACUGCGAUGCUUGAGGGAGGUAGGGGCAUGUGGAACUUCCAGUGGAGCGGUGUAAUGUGUUGAGAUUGGAAGGAACGCCAGUGGCGAAAGCGACGUGCUGGAUCUCUUCUGACGCUGAGGCGUGAAAGCUAGGGUAGCGAACGGG
This 254-nucleotide unclassified non-coding RNA is filed under the name uncultured Planctomycetia bacterium. Its description in RNAcentral is "contains 16S-23S intergenic spacer region". It matches the Rfam family "Bacterial small subunit ribosomal RNA", at positions 524 to 776 of the family's 1533-position model. The record is from RNAcentral. Lineage: Bacteria; Pseudomonadati; Planctomycetota; Planctomycetia.